UGGGGAAUAUUGCACAAUGGGCGCAAGCCUGAUGCAGCAACGCCGCGUGAGGGAUGACGGCCUUCGGGUUGUAAACCUCUUUUAGCAGGGAAGAAGCGAAAGUGACGGUACCUGCAGAAAAAGCACCGGCUAACUACGUGCCAGCAGCCGCGGUAAUACGUAGGGUGCAAGCGUUGUCCGGAAUUAUUGGGCGUAAAGAGCUCGUAGGCGGUCUGUCGCGUCUGCUGUGAAAUCCCGAGGCUCAACCUCGGGCCUGCAGUGGGUACGGGCAGACUAGAGUGCGGUAGGGGAGAAUGGAACUCCUGGUGUAGCGGUGGAAUGCGCAGAUAUCAGGAAGAACACCGAUGGCGAAGGCAGUUCUCUGGGCCGUAACUGACGCUGAGGAGCGAAA
RNAcentral lists this ribosomal RNA (391 nucleotides) under uncultured bacterium. Its description in RNAcentral is "partial 16S ribosomal RNA". It matches the Rfam family "Bacterial small subunit ribosomal RNA", at positions 355 to 758 of the family's 1533-position model. The record is from RNAcentral.